GAGUUUGAUCGUGGCUCAGAUUGAACGCUGGCGGCAUGCCUUACACAUGCAAGUCGAACGGCAGCAUGAUCUAGCUUGCUAGAUUGAUGGCGAGUGGCGAACGGGUGAGUAAUACAUCGGAACGUGCCCUGUAGUGGGGGAUAACUAGUCGAAAGAUUAGCUAAUACCGCAUACGACCUGAGGGUGAAAGUGGGGGACCGCAAGGCCUCAUGCUAUAGGAGCGGCCGAUGUCUGAUUAGCUAGUUGGUGGGUAAAGGCCCACCAAGGCGACGAUCAGUAGCUGGUCUGAGAGGACGAUCAGCCACACUGGGACUGAGACACGGCCCAGACUCCUACGGGAGGCAGCAGUGGGGAAUUUGGACAAUGGGCGAAAGCCUGAUCCAGCAAUG
RNAcentral lists this ribosomal RNA (389 nucleotides) under uncultured microorganism. Its description in RNAcentral is "bacterial SSU rRNA". It matches the Rfam family "Bacterial small subunit ribosomal RNA", at positions 9 to 396 of the family's 1533-position model. The record is from RNAcentral.